RNAcentral lists this ribosomal RNA (517 nucleotides) under uncultured bacterium. RNAcentral's name for it is "bacterial SSU rRNA". It matches the Rfam family "Bacterial small subunit ribosomal RNA", at positions 17 to 518 of the family's 1533-position model. The record is from RNAcentral.
UUCUGGCUCAGAUUGAACGCUGGCGGCGUGCUUAACACAUGCAAGUCGAACGCGAAAGGGACUUCGGUCCUGAGUAAGUGGCGCACGGGUGAGUAACGCGUGGAUAAUCUGCCCUUAUGAUCGGGAUAACAGUUGGAAACGGCUGCUAAUACCGGAUACGCUCAAAAUGAACUUUUUGAGGAAAGAUGGCCUCUGCUUGCAUGCUAUCGCGUAAGGAUGAGUCCGCGUCCCAUUAGCUUGUUGGCGGGUAACGGCCCACCAAGGCAACGAUGGGUAGCCGAUUUGAGAGGAUGAUCGGCCACACUGGAACUGAAACACGGUCCAGACUCCUACGGGAGGCAGCAGUGGGGAAUAUUGCGCAAUGGGCGAAGGCCUGACGCAGCGACGCCGCCGUGAGGGAUGAAGGUUUUCGGAUCGUAAACCUCCGUCAGAAGGGAAGAAACUACGUUGUGCUAAUCAGCAGCGUACUGACGGUACCUUCAAAGGAAGCACCGGCUAACUCCGUGCCAGCCGCGGC